AUACGUAGGGAGCGAGCGUUGUCCGGAAUUACUGGGCGUAAAGGGCGCGUAGGCGGCGCUUCAAGUCGUCUGUCAAAUGGGAGGGCUUAACCCUUUUUCGCAGACGAAACUGGAGAGCUUGAGAAGCAGAGAGGCAAACAGAAUUCCUGGUGUAGCGGUGAAAUGCGUAGAUAUCAGGAAGAAUACCAGUGGCGAAGGCGGUUUGCUGGCUGCAUACUGACGCUGAAGCGCGAAAGCCAGGGGAGCAAACGGGAUUAGAUACCCCGGUAGUCCUGGCAGUAAACGAUGUAUGCUGGGUGUGAGACCAGCGAUAGUUUCGUGCCGAAGUUAACGCGAUAAGCAUACCGCCUGGGGAGUACGGUCGCAAGAUUGAAACUCAAAGGAAUUGACGGGG
Molecule: ribosomal RNA, 394 nt
Filed under: uncultured bacterium
Lineage: Bacteria
Description: partial 16S ribosomal RNA
Rfam family: Bacterial small subunit ribosomal RNA
Source: RNAcentral